This 253-nucleotide ribosomal RNA is filed under the name uncultured bacterium. Its description in RNAcentral is "partial 16S ribosomal RNA". It matches the Rfam family "Bacterial small subunit ribosomal RNA", at positions 524 to 776 of the family's 1533-position model. The record is from RNAcentral.
UACGGAGGGAGCUAGCGUUGUUCGGAAUUACUGGGCGUAAAGCGCACGUAGGCGGCUUUUUAAGUCAGGGGUGAAAUCCCGGGGCUCAACCCCGGAACUGCCCUUGAAACUGGAGAGCUUGAAUCUUGGAGAGGCGAGUGGAAUUCCGAGUGUAGAGGUGAAAUUCGUAGGUAUUCGGAAGAACACCAGUGGCGAAGGCGACUCGCUGGACAAGUAUUGACGCUGAGGUGCGAAAGCGUGGGGAGCAAACAGG